AAUGAACGCUGGCGGCGUGCCUAAUACAUGCAAGUCGAACGACCGGACCAUAAGCUUUCUUCUCUGAUGUUGGCGACUGACGGGUGAGUAACACGUGGAUAACCUUCUUCUUUUUCUUGGAGAAUUACGUGGAACCACAUCUGAUACCACAGCAUAUUUUCUACCGCAGAGUUCAAGAGUUAUUCGCACUUUUCCUGUCUCUAUUAGCUGGAUCCGCGCUGGAUUAUCUAGUUGGUAAGGUAACGGCCUACCAAGGCUACGAUGCAUAGCCGAUCUGAGAGGGUGAUCAGCCACACUGGAACUGAGACACGGUCCAGACUCCUACGGGAGGCAGCAGUAGGGAAUAUUCCGCAAUGGGCGCAAGCCUGACGCAGCAACGCCGCGUGAGUGAUGAAGGUCUUCGGAUCGUAAAACCCUGUUAUUAGGGAAGAAAAUCUGUGUGUGAAAAUGUCGACAUUCUGACGGUACCUAAAGAGAAAGCAACGGCUAACUACGUG
This 497-nucleotide ribosomal RNA is filed under the name uncultured bacterium. RNAcentral describes it as "partial 16S ribosomal RNA". It matches the Rfam family "Bacterial small subunit ribosomal RNA", at positions 29 to 507 of the family's 1533-position model. The record is from RNAcentral.